RNAcentral lists this unclassified non-coding RNA (192 nucleotides) under soil metagenome. RNAcentral's name for it is "partial internal transcribed spacer 1". The record is from RNAcentral.
CAGAGUUGCAAAACUCCCUUACCACCAUCGUGAACAGACCCCGAAACAGUUGCUUCGGCGGGAGGCAGUCCCCCCCUUCACCGCGGGCGGCCCGGGUUCCCGGCGCCCUGGCCCAUCGCGGCGCCCGCCGGAGGUACUCCAAACUCUUGAUACUUUAUAGGCCUCUCUGAGUCUUCUGUACUGAAUAAGUCA